UUGUCUCCGCGUGCUGCUACUGAAGUGAAUUGUGCAUACACAGCACAAUAUGUCCUAAGAAAAAACCCAUAACGGUCACUUGAAGCCUGUACAGCGUCGCUUUCUACCCUCCAAUUUCAUUUUGCGAAACGUAAAAUGAAGCAAGCCAUCUAUGCUGAUAUGCCGCUAAUCUCUCUGUUUAUUGCUAUGUGUUUGGUUUCAAGCGUUCUAGCGGCACUGAAACUCAAGAAAUGCCAUACAAGUGGCUACGGAUGCCUGCCAUUCAACCAGUGCCCUCCACCAUAUUGGGCACCUCGCUAUGGCUGCGGGUGUGGCUCUAUUUGCUGCAACCUAGCAUCAAUGAAUGCCUGCUCUUUGGCUGGAGGAACUUGUAAAGUACGGUGCCAUACUCGAAUACCAAAGGUCAGAUGUCCUGGAUUGAAGAAGUGCUGUGUCACGGUGCGUCAAUAAGUUACAGUAUGCUAACACACCAGAUGUAACGCUGUCGUUGAGCGUAGAAACAGCAUGAGCGAUUUUCUUGCCCUUCUGUUCACCAUGUGUGAAAUGGGGCAUUGAAGGAGCACCAAAAAGAGGAAUAAAUAUCCACACAAGCGUAAACACGUUGUGAAUUUUAUCGUACGAG
RNAcentral lists this long non-coding RNA (622 nucleotides) under Dermacentor andersoni. RNAcentral's name for it is "uncharacterized LOC126537960". The record is from RNAcentral. Lineage: Eukaryota; Metazoa; Arthropoda; Arachnida; Ixodida; Ixodidae.